This is a non-coding RNA of Mycena sp. CBHHK59/15, 93 nucleotides long. The record is from the annotation of a GenBank genome assembly. Lineage: Eukaryota; Fungi; Basidiomycota; Agaricomycetes; Agaricales; Mycenaceae.
GGCUGUGUCGUGGAGUGGUUACCACGCCUGCUCGAGAUAUGAUCAUUGUUCGAAUUUCCGCGGGUGACGAGGGUUUGAAUCCCUCCAUGGGCA